Molecule: ribosomal RNA, 466 nt
Filed under: uncultured bacterium
Lineage: Bacteria
Description: partial 16S ribosomal RNA
Rfam family: Bacterial small subunit ribosomal RNA
Source: RNAcentral
GAUGAACGCUGGCGGCGUGCUUAAUACAUGCAAGUCGAACGAUGAAGCCCAGCUUGCUGGGUGGAUUAGUGGCGAACGGGUGGGUAACACGUGAGUAACCUGCCCUUGACUCUGGGAUAAGCCUGGGAAACUGGGUCUAAUACUGGAUAUGACUUCUCAUCGCAUGGUGGGGGGUGGAAAGAUUUAUUGGUCUUGGAUGGACUCGCGGCCUAUCAGCUUGUUGGUGAGGUAAUGGCUCACCAAGGCGACGACGGGUAGCCGGCCUGAGAGGGUGACCGGCCACACUGGGACUGAGACACGGCCCAGACUCCUACGGGAGGCAGCAGUGGGGAAUAUUGCACAAUGGGCGCAAGCCUGAUGCAGCGACGCCGCGUGAGGGAUGACGGCCUUCGGGUUGUAAACCUCUUUCAGUAGGGAAGAAGCGAGAGUGACGGUACCUGCAGAAGAAGCGCCGGCUAACUACGUG